AUUGUUUCCAUUGACAGACUCAAACCCACAUUCUUACUCGCAGAAUACACCCAACAACAGGCUGCAAACAAACAAAGAUCAAAAGCACAACCGCACACAGACCUUCGACAGAAAAGGAAACACACUCCACUAGUACAACAAAAAACGGAACUGAACCACUCUGAUUUAGAACAACACGAUAGACUCACACUUAAGUCCAGUCUACGGUCCACAAGGCACGGCAGAAAAAUACAUCUCCCUGUUCAUUUCAGGUAAUGCUGCUGCUAGGAGGGGGUACUGCAGUGACCCCUACUGAUCAAAAAGUCUACUAUACCCGAAAUAUAACGAGCAGCCCCUCAGGCAAUACCCCACUAGGAGUAGCCAGCUUGACCGCACCACCAACACUUCGGCCAGACUCCGACGUGAAAGGACAUCGAUCCGAUUGUCGCGAUUUUUUAGGAUAUAUAAAUCAUAACGUUACUU
RNAcentral lists this long non-coding RNA (462 nucleotides) under Androctonus crassicauda. The record is from RNAcentral. Lineage: Eukaryota; Metazoa; Arthropoda; Arachnida; Scorpiones; Buthidae.